Molecule: ribosomal RNA, 497 nt
Filed under: uncultured bacterium
Lineage: Bacteria
Description: partial 16S ribosomal RNA
Rfam family: Bacterial small subunit ribosomal RNA
Source: RNAcentral
GAUGAACGCUGGCGGCGUGCCUAAUACAUGCAAGUCGAGCGAACGGACGAGAAGCUUGCUUUUCUGAUGUUAGCGGCGGACGGGUGAGUAACACGUGGAUAACCUACCUAUAAGACUGGGAUAACUUCGGGAAACCGGAGCUAAUACCGGAUAAUAUUUUAAACCGCAUGGUUCAAAAGUGAAAGACGGUCUUGCUGUCACUUAUAGAUGGAUCCGCGCUGCAUUAGCUAGUUGGUAAGGUAACGGCUUACCAAGGCAACGAUGCAUAGCCGACCUGAGAGGGUGAUCGGCCACACUGGAACUGAGACACGGUCCAGACUCCUACGGGAGGCAGCAGUAGGGAAUCUUCCGCAAUGGGCGAAAGCCUGACGGAGCAACGCCGCGUGAGUGAUGAAGGUCUUCGGAUCGUAAAACUCUGUUAUUAGGGAAGAACAUAUGUGUAAGUAACUGUGCACAUCUUGACGGUACCUAAUCAGAAAGCCACGGCUAACUACGUG